Molecule: ribosomal RNA, 253 nt
Filed under: uncultured bacterium
Lineage: Bacteria
Description: partial 16S ribosomal RNA
Rfam family: Bacterial small subunit ribosomal RNA
Source: RNAcentral
UACGUAGGGUGCGAGCGUUAAUCGGAAUUACUGGGCGUAAAGCGUGCGCAGGCGGUUCGCAAAGUCUGAUGUGAAAGCCCCGGGCUCAACCUGGGAACUGCAUUGGAAACUAACGGGCUCGAGUGUGGCAGAGGGGGGUGGAAUUCCACGUGUAGCAGUGAAAUGCGUAGAUAUGUGGAGGAAUACCGAUGGCGAAGGCAGCCCCCUGGGAUAACACUGACGCUCAUGCACGAAAGCGUGGGGAUCAAACAGG